RNAcentral lists this ribosomal RNA (774 nucleotides) under uncultured Pseudonocardia sp. RNAcentral's name for it is "bacterial SSU rRNA". It matches the Rfam family "Bacterial small subunit ribosomal RNA", at positions 8 to 796 of the family's 1533-position model. Lineage: Bacteria; Bacillati; Actinomycetota; Actinomycetes; Pseudonocardiales; Pseudonocardiaceae. The record is from RNAcentral.
AGAGUUUGAUCCUGGCUCAGGACGAACGCUGGCGGCGUGCUUAACACAUGCAAGUCGAGCGGUAAGGCCUCUUCGGGGGUACACGAGCGGCGAACGGGUGAGUAACACGUGGGUGACCUGCCCUCCUCUCUGGGAUAAGCCUGGGAAACUGGGUCUAAUACCGGAUAUUCACUUACUUCUGCAUGGGGGUGGGUGGAAAGUUUUUUCGGUGGGGAUGGGCCCGCGGCCUAUCAGCUUGUUGGUGGGGUGAUGGCCUACCAAGGCGACGACGGGUAGCCGGCCUGAGAGGGCGACCGGCCACACUGGGACUGAGACACGGCCCAGACUCCUACGGGAGGCAGCAGUGGGGAAUAUUGCGCAAUGGGCGGAAGCCUGACGCAGCGACGCCGCGUGGGGGAUGACGGCCUUCGGGUUGUAAACCUCUUUCGCCAGGGACGAAGCGUGAGUGACGGUACCUGGAUAAGAAGCACCGGCCAACUACGUGCCAGCAGCCGCGGUAACACGUAGGGUGCGAGCGUUGUCCGGAAUUAUUGGGCGUAAAGAGCUCGUAGGCGGUGUGUCGCGUCGGCCGUGAAAACCUGUGGCUUAACUGCGGGCUUGCGGUCGAUACGGGCAUCACUGGAGUUCGGCAGGGGAGACUGGAAUUCCUGGUGUAGCGGUGAAAUGCGCAGAUAUCAGGAGGAACACCGGUGGCGAAGGCGGGUCUCUGGGCCGAUACUGACGCUGAGGAGCGAAAGCGUGGGGAGCGAACAGGAUUAGAUACCCUUGUAGUCC